This 565-nucleotide long non-coding RNA is filed under the name Olea europaea (common olive). RNAcentral describes it as "long non-coding RNA (OEUR_LNC008474)". The record is from RNAcentral. Lineage: Eukaryota; Viridiplantae; Streptophyta; Magnoliopsida; Lamiales; Oleaceae.
GGUGUAAAGAUGACUUGUAAGAGAAGUGGAGAGGCAAGUCAUAACAAUAGGAUUUGCGAGCUAACCGGCCUAUAGAUCAACGAACACAUCUAGAGAAGUCAAAGAGCAAGAGAAAUGCAUCAACUUUAACUGAGAAGGCUCCACAGAAGAAGAAGUCCAAGAAGAAUAGUACAAAGUCUCAAUAUCUGUAAUCAAGUUUUUUAUUGGAUGUAAACCUCUUGUAUUUUUUUAUGUAGGUAGUAUUUUCCUACUAAUCAUUUUGGACCCAGAAGAAAUUUUAUGGAAUGUUGACAAUGUAUUUUGGCUAUUAAACAUCAUGUAUUGCUAGAGUUUUGGGUUUUUAGUUUGUACGAGCUUGUUCUGUAUAAUUUGUUGUUAGUGUGUACUAAGAAAUUUACCCAAAAAAAAAAAAAAAAAAAACUACUAAUCAUGUUGGACCCAGAAGAAAUUUUAUGUAAUGUUGACAAUGUAUUUUGGCUAUUAAACAUCAUGUAUUGCUAGAGUUUUGGGUUUUUAGUUUGUACGAGCUUGUUCUGUAUAAUUUGUUGUUAGUGUGUACUAAGAA